This 504-nucleotide ribosomal RNA is filed under the name uncultured bacterium. RNAcentral describes it as "partial 16S ribosomal RNA". It matches the Rfam family "Bacterial small subunit ribosomal RNA", at positions 30 to 523 of the family's 1533-position model. The record is from RNAcentral.
AUUGAACGCUGGCGGCAGGCCUAACACAUGCAAGUCGAGCGGUAGCACAGAGAGCUUGCUCUCGGGUGACGAGCGGCGGACGGGUGAGUAAUGUCUGGGAAACUGCCUGAUGGAGGGGGAUAACUACUGGAAACGGUAGCUAAUACCGCAUAAUGUCGCAAGACCAAAGUGGGGGACCUUCGGGCCUCAUGCCAUCAGAUGUGCCCAGAUGGGAUUAGCUAGUAGGUGGGGUAACGGCUCACCUAGGCGACGAUCCCUAGCUGGUCUGAGAGGAUGACCAGCCACACUGGAACUGAGACACGGUCCAGACUCCUACGGGAGGCAGCAGUGGGGAAUAUUGCACAAUGGGCGCAAGCCUGAUGCAGCCAUGCCGCGUGUGUGAAGAAGGCCUUCGGGUUGUAAAGCACUUUCAGCGGGGAGGAAGGCGGUGAGGUUAAUAACCUCAUCGAUUGACGUUACCCGCAGAAGAAGCACCGGCUAACUCCGUGCCAGCAGCCGCGGUAA